Dendronephthya gigantea is the source of this 380-nucleotide long non-coding RNA. RefSeq lists it as uncharacterized. The record is from RefSeq and is a predicted model, not a curated record. The transcript is spliced from 4 exons. NCBI's taxonomy places the organism in Eukaryota, Metazoa, Cnidaria, Anthozoa, Malacalcyonacea, Nephtheidae.
UUUUUGAGGUUUUCGUGGGCUGUUUUUUGGUUACUACUGCAAUCUCUUACCGGCGGGUCGGAGAUAUCGUUAUGGUUGCAGUCUGUUCAGGCUGUUCCUCGCAGGGACUCUGGAGGUUUGUUGCUGUCUCAGGAUCCAUAUUAAAAUGAUCGCUUAGAAAGGCUUUCUUUAACCGACUGGAUUUUGUACCGACCAGAUUAUAUGGAAAACCCAGUCAAUACAAGGUUUUUGGAGAGAGUUGGUAUCGAAAAGACUGAUUUUGGUCACCUGCUUCCUUAACAGAGCAUUCUCCAGAACUCCUUCAAACAAUACUUCUUCGUAGUUUGCGUACAGAUCAAUGAAAACGAUCUGAUCUGAUGAAAAAUGAUCGGCAAAAUAAU